RNAcentral lists this ribosomal RNA (497 nucleotides) under uncultured bacterium. RNAcentral describes it as "partial 16S ribosomal RNA". It matches the Rfam family "Bacterial small subunit ribosomal RNA", at positions 28 to 507 of the family's 1533-position model. The record is from RNAcentral.
GACGAACGCUGGCGGCGUGCCUAAUACAUGCAAGUUGAGCGCUGAAGGUUGGUACUUGUACCAACUGGAUGAGCAGCGGACGGGUGAGUAACGCGUGGGGAAUCUGCCUUUGAGCGGGGGACAACAUUUGGAAACGAAUGCUAAUACCGCAUAAAAACUUUAAACACAAGUUUUAAGUUUGAAAGAUGCAAUUGCAUCACUCAAAGAUGAUCCCGCGUUGUAUUAGCUAGUUGGUGAGGUAAAGGCUCACCAAGGCGAUGAUACAUAGCCGACCUGAGAGGGUGGUCGGCCACAUUGGGACUGCGACACGGCCCAAACUCCUACGGGAGGCAGCAGGAGGGAAUCUUCGGCAAUGGACGAAAGUCUGACCGAGCAACGCCGCGUGAGUGAAGAAGGUUUUCGGAUCGUAAAACUCUGUUGGUAGAGAAGAACGUUGGUGAGAGUGGAAAGCUCAUCAAGUGACGGUAACUACCCAGAAAGGGACGGCUAACUACGUG